Long non-coding RNA from Bombyx mori (domestic silkworm), 1748 nucleotides. RefSeq lists it as uncharacterized. Lineage: Eukaryota; Metazoa; Arthropoda; Insecta; Lepidoptera; Bombycidae. The record is from RefSeq and is a predicted model, not a curated record. The transcript is spliced from 7 exons.
CCAGACUGCGUGUGCGCAGUGUUCGAACGCUUUUAGAUUCUCAAUUUCGUGCUCAAGUUCUGUGUAUGUGUUCUGUGAUAUUUAAUAAAGGUUAACCCUUGCGCGGCUCGGGCGGUCCAUCAGACCCGGUGGCCUCGCGGGACCGGACAGAUAUUUUGGAAAAAAGAAGAACCAAUUUUCGAAUGAAAAAUGGUUGGAUUACCUUAAGUUAUUGAUUAGCUGGAGCAAGUUAUAAUAAUGGUGAUUAGCUAAAAUUCCCUAAUCCACUAUUUGGAUUACCAAAUCGGUCACCGUGGAUAGUGCUUGUCUCUGAGGCCAAGACUCAGUUGAACUAAGGUUCUACGCCGGCUCUACGUCGAGGUGCCUCGUCGGCCAGAGGGAGUUCGUGUUCUCCCCAUUCUCCUCGAGUAUUUCGGCGGCUUACAUUCCGCAUGGUCAUUCUCGAAGUCAUAAUUUUCAGACGGCACACGACUCGGUAUGUGGAGCAUCGCGGCUUGUGCAAUGACCUUGUCGCUGAGGUAGAUGGAUGGGCGAACUCAAUGUUUCAACAAGGAGUGGAGAUUGCUAACAACUGCCUAAGCAUCCCCAGAGGUCUAGCAGAUCAAAGGCAUUUGCUUUGCGAGUGCAUUUACCAUUGGAUCGGAAUUGCUUGGAUGAUGACAGAAACUCAACGGACUGAAGUUAUACUAUAAGGUUAAGAUUAAGAUCGAUGUAUCGAAGCGAACGUGAACAUCAAGAAUUAAAAGCCUUUUAAUAACAGACCGCUUGGGAGGACGGUUUCAACCGAAACGAAGCUAAGAAAAAUAAUACUUCAGUUUUAUAUAUAUAUUUCAGAACUAGCUGGCCCGGCAGACUUCGUAGUGCCUCAAUCGAUAAAUAAAAGACCUAAACUUUUGUAUAAAAUAAAUUUAAAACAAACAAAAGGAAUCCGUCUGACGAGGGACACAUCAAUUAGGAAAAACAAAAUUGUUAUUUUUAUUUAAUUCUGAGUAUUUUCAUAUUUAUCUACCUUUUAAACCUUCUCUGAACUUCUACAAAUAAUUCAAGACCAAAAUAAGCCAAAUCGGUCCAGCCGUUGUCGAGUUUUAGCGAGACUAACGAACAGCAAUUCAUUUUUAUGUAUAUGGAUUAUUUAGUUUGAUCGUGUCGCAGAACAAUAAUUAUGUAUCGUAUUGUUUCGCUUAUUUCAAUUUUUAUUUUUAAUGUUUCGAAGUUAUUUGCAAAAUAUAUUUUUUUAUACAUGCAUAUCUAUGUCUUCAGUUCUUGUCUUCAAGGUUUUGAAUUGUUGAGUAAUUUCUCUAUUUGCUAUUCUUGCAUUCCCAAUAUUAAUGAGAGUUGCUUUUGAUUACAUUUAGUAUUAGUACAGCUACACUAUAUUUAUUUGUAAAAUCAACUAUUAUUUCAGAUCCGUACAUACACUGAAGCUGCGUGAAGAUAUAAAUGUAGAAUAAAAUAGACAUAAUUCCUAUUUACCAUGAAACAAUUCUCUUAAAUCUACUUUGAAUAGAGGCCUCUUUUUGUCGCAAAGCAACUUUAAUAGCAGCCUGGAUUGCGCCACGACCGGUGCGAUAGAAACACUUUAAUUAGAGCUACACAAGCAACCCAGAGUGGCCGGGAAUUGCCACUUUUUGCCAAUUGUCGCCUCUUUGUAUCCACUUUCCCCCCUUUUCCCGAUAUAGUGUCACGUGCGGCGUCGAUAUGCCAAUUAAGUCAUUGUACCGAUGCAAUUAAACUUGCAGUUUUAUUUU